RNAcentral lists this ribosomal RNA (314 nucleotides) under uncultured bacterium. RNAcentral's name for it is "partial 16S ribosomal RNA". It matches the Rfam family "Bacterial small subunit ribosomal RNA", at positions 499 to 807 of the family's 1533-position model. The record is from RNAcentral.
UUAUAAGAGACAGCAGUAGCCGCGGUAAUACGUAGGGUGCAAGCGUUAAUCGGAAUUACUGGGCGUAAAGCGUGCGCAGGCGGUUAUAUAAGACAGAUGUGAAAUCCCCGGGCUCAACCUGGGAACUGCAUUUGUGACUGUAUAGCUAGAGUACGGCAGAGGGGGAUGGAAUUCCGCGUGUAGCAGUGAAAUGCGUAGAUAUGCGGAGGAACACCGAUGGCGAAGGCAAUCCCCUGGGCCUGUACUGACGCUCAUGCACGAAAGCGUGGGGAGCAAACAGGAUUAGAUACCCCAGUAGUCCCUGUCUCUUAUAC